RNAcentral lists this ribosomal RNA (719 nucleotides) under Bidens alba var. radiata. RNAcentral describes it as "eukaryotic LSU rRNA". The stretch from base 304 to 459 matches the Rfam family "5.8S ribosomal RNA". Lineage: Eukaryota; Viridiplantae; Streptophyta; Magnoliopsida; Asterales; Asteraceae. The record is from RNAcentral.
AAGUCGUAACAAGGUUUCCGUAGGUGAACCUGCGGAGGAUCAUUGUCGAACCCUGCAACAGCAGAACGACUCGUGAACAUGUACUUAAACCUGGCAUUGCGAGGACCGAAGCUCUUGUUUUGAGCCUCGUAAGGCCUUGUUGACCUGCGUUUAGGGCCGUCCCUUGGGGCGUCCCGGAUGUAGGUCGACACAACUAACAAUUCGGCACAACCCGUGCCAAGGAAAACAUUACAUAAAGGGCCCGUGCCAUGACGCCCCGUUUACGGCAAGCGUGUUGCACGUGGCCUCUUUGUAACCCUAAACGACUCUCGGCAACGGAUAUCUCGGCUCACGCAUCGAUGAAGAACGUAGCAAAAUGCGAUACUUGGUGUGAAUUGCAGAAUCCCGUGAACCAUCGAGUUUUUGAACGCAAGUUGCGCCCGAAGCCUUCUGGCCGAGGGCACGUCUGCCUGGGCGUCACGCAUCACGUCGCCCCCACCAUCCAUCCCUUCAAGGGACUUGGUGUGGGGCGGAGAUUGGUCUCCUGUGCCAUGGCACGGUUGGCCUAAAUAGAAGUCCCCUCAUGAGUGACGCACGACUAGUGGUGGUUGAUAAGACUGUCGUAUCGUGUCGUGCGUUCGUUUCAUGCGGGCUUGACUCCUUUUAAACCCACUUGUGUUGUCCUGUGACGAUGCUUCGAUCGCGACCCCAGGUCAGGCGGGACUACCCGCUGAGUUUAA